This 2907-nucleotide ribosomal RNA is filed under the name Klebsiella grimontii. Its description in RNAcentral is "23S ribosomal RNA". It matches the Rfam family "Bacterial large subunit ribosomal RNA". The record is from RNAcentral. Lineage: Bacteria; Pseudomonadati; Pseudomonadota; Gammaproteobacteria; Enterobacterales; Enterobacteriaceae.
GGUUAAGCGACUAAGCGUACACGGUGGAUGCCCUGGCAGUCAGAGGCGAUGAAGGACGUGCUAAUCUGCGAAAAGCGUCGGUAAGGUGAUAUGAACCGUUAUAGCCGGCGAUGUCCGAAUGGGGAAACCCAGUGCAAUUCGUUGCACUAUCGUUUGAUGAAUACAUAGUCAAACGAGGCGAACCGGGGGAACUGAAACAUCUAAGUACCCCGAGGAAAAGAAAUCAACCGAGAUUCCCCCAGUAGCGGCGAGCGAACGGGGAGCAGCCCGGAGUCUGAAUCAGCUUGUGUGUUAGUGGAAGCGUCUGGAAAGUCGCAGGGUACAGGGUGAUACUCCCGUACACUAAAACGCACAGGCUGUGAACUCGAAGAGUAGGGCGGGACACGUGGUAUCCUGUCUGAAUAUGGGGGGACCAUCCUCCAAGGCUAAAUACUCCUGACUGACCGAUAGUGAACCAGUACCGUGAGGGAAAGGCGAAAAGAACCCCGGCGAGGGGAGUGAAAAAGAACCUGAAACCGUGUACGUACAAGCAGUAGGAGCCUCUUUAUGGGGUGACUGCGUACCUUUUGUAUAAUGGGUCAGCGACUUAUAUUCUGUAGCAAGGUUAACCGUAUAGGGGAGCCGCAGGGAAACCGAGUCUUAACUGGGCGUUAAGUUGCAGGGUAUAGACCCGAAACCCGGUGAUCUAGCCAUGGGCAGGUUGAAGGUUGGGUAACACUAACUGGAGGACCGAACCGACUAAUGUUGAAAAAUUAGCGGAUGACUUGUGGCUGGGGGUGAAAGGCCAAUCAAACCGGGAGAUAGCUGGUUCUCCCCGAAAGCUAUUUAGGUAGCGCCUCGUGAAUUCAUCUUCGGGGGUAGAGCACUGUUUCGGCUAGGGGGUCAUCCCGACUUACCAACCCGAUGCAAACUACGAAUACCGAAGAAUGUUAUCACGGGAGACACACGGCGGGUGCUAACGUCCGUCGUGAAGAGGGAAACAACCCAGACCGCCAGCUAAGGUCCCAAAGUCAUGGUUAAGUGGGAAACGAUGUGGGAAGGCCCAGACAGCCAGGAUGUUGGCUUAGAAGCAGCCAUCAUUUAAAGAAAGCGUAAUAGCUCACUGGUCGAGUCGGCCUGCGCGGAAGAUGUAACGGGGCUAAACCAUGCACCGAAGCUGCGGCAGCGACACUAUGUGUUGUUGGGUAGGGGAGCGUUCUGUAAGCCGUUGAAGGUGGCCUGUGAGGGUUGCUGGAGGUAUCAGAAGUGCGAAUGCUGACAUAAGUAACGAUAAUGCGGGUGAAAAACCCGCACGCCGGAAGACCAAGGGUUCCUGUCCAACGUUAAUCGGGGCAGGGUGAGUCGACCCCUAAGGCGAGGCCGAAAGGCGUAGUCGAUGGGAAACAGGUUAAUAUUCCUGUACUCGGUGUUACUGCGAAGGGGGGACGGAGAAGGCUAUGUUGGCCGGGCGACGGUUGUCCCGGUUUAAGCAUGUAGGCGGAUGUUCCAGGUAAAUCCGGAACGUUAUCAACGCUGAGGUGUGAUGACGAGGCACUACGGUGCUGAAGUGACAAAUGCCCUGCUUCCAGGAAAAGCCUCUAAGCAUCAGGUAACAUCAAAUCGUACCCCAAACCGACACAGGUGGUCAGGUAGAGAAUACCAAGGCGCUUGAGAGAACUCGGGUGAAGGAACUAGGCAAAAUGGUGCCGUAACUUCGGGAGAAGGCACGCUGAUAGGUAGGUGAAGUGGUUUACCCAUGGAGCUGAAAUCAGUCGAAGAUACCAGCUGGCUGCAACUGUUUAUUAAAAACACAGCACUGUGCAAACACGAAAGUGGACGUAUACGGUGUGACGCCUGCCCGGUGCCGGAAGGUUAAUUGAUGGGGUUAUCCGUAAGGAGAAGCUCUUGAUCGAAGCCCCGGUAAACGGCGGCCGUAACUAUAACGGUCCUAAGGUAGCGAAAUUCCUUGUCGGGUAAGUUCCGACCUGCACGAAUGGCGUAAUGAUGGCCAGGCUGUCUCCACCCGAGACUCAGUGAAAUUGAACUCGCUGUGAAGAUGCAGUGUACCCGCGGCAAGACGGAAAGACCCCGUGAACCUUUACUAUAGCUUGACACUGAACACUGGUCCUUGAUGUGUAGGAUAGGUGGGAGGCUUUGAAGUGUGGACGCCAGUCUGCAUGGAGCCAUCCUUGAAAUACCACCCUUUAAUGGCUGGUGUUCUAACGUGGGCCCGUUAUCCGGGUUGCGGACAGUGUCUGGUGGGUAGUUUGACUGGGGCGGUCUCCUCCUAAAGAGUAACGGAGGAGCACGAAGGUCAGCUAAUCCUGGUCGGACAUCAGGAGGUUAGUGCAAUGGCAUAAGCUGGCUUGACUGCGAGCGUGACGGCGCGAGCAGGUGCGAAAGCAGGUCAUAGUGAUCCGGUGGUUCUGAAUGGAAGGGCCAUCGCUCAACGGAUAAAAGGUACUCCGGGGAUAACAGGCUGAUACCGCCCAAGAGUUCAUAUCGACGGCGGUGUUUGGCACCUCGAUGUCGGCUCAUCACAUCCUGGGGCUGAAGUAGGUCCCAAGGGUAUGGCUGUUCGCCAUUUAAAGUGGUACGCGAGCUGGGUUUAGAACGUCGUGAGACAGUUCGGUCCCUAUCUGCCGUGGGCGCUGGAGAAUUGAGGGGGGCUGCUCCUAGUACGAGAGGACCGGAGUGGACGCAUCACUGGUGUUCGGGUUGUCAUGCCAAUGGCAUUGCCCGGUAGCUAAAUGCGGAAGAGAUAAGUGCUGAAAGCAUCUAAGCACGAAACUUGCCCCGAGAUGAGUUCUCCCUGACUCCUUGAGAGUCCUGAAGGAACGUUGAAGACGACGACGUUGAUAGGCCGGGUGUGUAAGCGCAGCGAUGCGUUGAGCUAACCGGUACUAAUGAACCGUGAGGCUUAACCUU